AGGCCCGUAGCUCUAACUGGCAGAGCGCCGGUCUCCAAAACCGGAGGGUGUCGGUUCGAAUCCGACCGGGCCUGCCA
This 77-nucleotide transfer RNA is filed under the name Pseudomonadota bacterium. Its description in RNAcentral is "Proteobacteria bacterium (cold seep metagenome) tRNA-Trp". It matches the Rfam family "tRNA". Rfam says of the family: Transfer RNA (tRNA) molecules are approximately 80 nucleotides in length. Their secondary structure includes four short double-helical elements and three loops (D, anti-codon, and T loops). Lineage: Bacteria; Pseudomonadati; Pseudomonadota. The record is from RNAcentral. RNAcentral also lists the same sequence under 1 other name.